Long non-coding RNA from Helianthus annuus (common sunflower), 529 nucleotides. RefSeq lists it as uncharacterized. The record is from RefSeq and is a predicted model, not a curated record. NCBI's taxonomy places the organism in Eukaryota, Viridiplantae, Streptophyta, Magnoliopsida, Asterales, Asteraceae. The transcript has 4 exons.
AUGAAAGGUCUUAUGUUUUUCGUAAUUGUAUAAAUCAUUUUAUAUAACCCAAGUUAUAUCGAAAGUGAUAACUAUUCUAACCAGGACGAGCAUAGUUGGCCCAGCAAACGUCAGAGGGAAGUUGAUUCUAUUUAUAUGCAAAGAAAGCUUCAAAUUACACUGAAUGUUGUUUCAGGUGCAGUGGAUGGAUAAUGAAGGAAAGACUCAUCUGAUAUUGGCUUCUAUGAAUUCACACUUAAUUGAUGUUGCAACAACUUUGAUAGAAUUGGGUGUGAAUACAAAUACCUAUUGUCCAGUGAUGUUCGGGAAACCCAGGCAACAUCUUAUUUGUGGGUGAAAUGCAGGUCCAAACUGCAAGGCAUGGAGCGGGAUCGUUGGAAAAAAUCAGUUUAUAAUAUGUGUUGGGUCUAGGUGUGGUUAUUAUGUUUAGAACAGUGGGUGGUUAUUUUUUUGUAAAGUUCGGAUCACAACAACUUGCUAGGCCUGUGUAUAAUUUUUGGUGUUGAAAUAAAACUUGCCUUUGAAAAAA